UUUCCGUAGGUGAACCUGCGGAAGGAUCAUUAAUGAAUUUCUCUUUAUGAGAUUAUUCCUAUUGUGAUUUUAGUGGAAACAAAAUUGAAUUUGGGGAUUAAACAUGGUAUUUCGAAAGAGAGACCGGCCCCAAUUCAAAAGCCAAAAUAUCAUCUUAUUCAAUCAGACUGAUUACAAUUUAUUAUAUGAUAAUUCAUAAAAUAACUUUCAACAACGGAUCUCUUGGUUCUC
RNAcentral lists this unclassified non-coding RNA (231 nucleotides) under plant metagenome. RNAcentral's name for it is "partial contains small subunit ribosomal RNA, internal transcribed spacer 1, and 5.8S ribosomal RNA". The record is from RNAcentral.